GGCCGGUGAGCUCGCGGAGCCGGGCCCGGCCUGCCCGUCUACCCACGCGGUUGAGCUGCUGGAGCUGCUGCGGGGCGACCAGGGAGAUCACAGGUGGCUGAAAGGCGCAGGAGAGGGGAGGGUCUCCCCCAGACAGGAAGGCUGGGAAGGCUUCCUGCAGGAGGUGGCACCUGGGCUGAAGCCUGAUUGUAAAAAGAGCCCCUGUUCUCCUAUGAACUCUGGAUCUUCCAGCCACACCAAGAGCAUCCCCGGGGACAGGAACCAGAGCCCUUGUUUGCAGAGGAGACCCCUGAAGCUCAGGGAGGGUGCCACUCACUACCUUCUGCCGCAGGAGCUGGUACACAGGGCAAUGUGCAAUGGCCGAGGAAGGCCUGUGUCCAGCUGUUUCCCGGCAAUUCUAGCCUCUGGAGGCUUCGGGAGGUCCACAGGCCCUAGAGCCACCGGCUGGGAAACACAAGGGCCUGCCUCCCACCCUCUGCUCCAGGCUGGUGACUCCUGGGGCCUGAGGAUGAAGCAGAGCCUGCCACACUGGCCUCUGUCCUGCCUUUUCGUGCUGCUGCGCUGGCCUCUGGCCACUCCAACAUCAGCGAACCCUUGGCGGUGCCCACCUGGGGAGGAGCCCAGCCUGGACCUGGGGCAGGGCACAUUAUGCAGGUCGUGUCCCCCCGGCACUUUCUCUGCUUCGUGGGGCCCUGGCCCGUGCCAGCCCCACUCUCGCUGCAGCCCUCGAGGGAGGCUGGAGGCCCAGGCAGGCACAGCGACUCAAGACACCCUAUGUGGAGACUGCCAGCCUGGGUGGUUUGCCACUUCGGGGGUCCCCCGUGCCUCCUGUCAGCCGUGCUCCUGGACACCUCUGGGUACUCGCAGCUGUUAUGAGCGGGGACGGCGGGCCCGACGUGGUGUGGAGGUGGCAGCAGGGGCCAGGAGCACUGGGGAUACGCGGCAGCCUGGGAACGGCACGCGGGCAGGUGGCCCUGAGGAGACAGCUGCCCAGUAUGCGGUUAUUGCCAUCGUGCCUGUCUUCUGCCUCAUGGGGCUGCUGGGCAUCCUGGUGUGCAACCUGCUCAAGCGGAAAGGCUACCACUGCACGGCCCACAAGGAGCUUGGGCCCGGCCCUGGAGGUGGAGGCAGCGGGAUCAACCCCGCCUACCGGGCUGAGGAUGCCAAUGAGGACACCAUUGGGGUCCUAGUACGCCUGAUCACGGAGAAGAAAGAGAACGCUGCGGCCCUGGAGGAGCUGCUGAAGGAGUAUCACAGCAAACAGCUGGUGCAGACCAGCCACAGGCCCAUACCCAGGCUGCCGCCAGGUCCCCCCAGCAUCCCACACGUCUGUCCGCAUCGCCACCACCUCCACACCGUGCAGGGCCUGGCUUCACUGUCUGGCCCCUGCUGCUCCCGCUGUAGCCAGAAGAAGUGGCCCGAGGUGCUGCUGUCCCCUGAGGCUGCAGCUGCCACUACUCCCACUCCCAGACUCCUGCCCAACCCUGUCAGGGCUCCCAAGGCCGGGGCCAAGGCAGGACGCCAGGGCGAGAUCACCAUCCUGUCUGUGGGCAGGUUCCGAGUGGCCCGAAUUCCUGAGCAACGGUCAAGUUUGGCAGCCUCUGAGGUGAAGACUAUCACGGAGGCUGGGCCUUCAGGGGGUGAUCUCCCUGGCUCCCCACAACCUGGCCUCCCCACUGAGCAGCAGGCACUGCUGGGAAAUGGCGGAAGCCAUACCAAAUGGCUGAAGCCCCCAGCAGAGAACAAGGCUGAGGAGAAUCGCUAUGUGGUCCGGCUAAAUGAGAGCAACCUGGUCAUCUGAUGGUCUUUCUCAUCUGAGAACACAGCAGCCCUGCCCUGGGAGGUUCUGAAGGCUUCCUGGAGGAGGUAGAGCUGCAGCUGGGAGUGUGAGGAUCAAGAAGCAAUGGCCCAGCAGACAGAACAGCAAAGGCCAAGGCCUGAAGGUCGUCUGCCCAGUCACCAAAUAGGUCUGUGUCAGGCACGGUGUGUGGGACAGGCCAUCCCUUCCCUCAGUGUUGGCUCUGUGACAGCACAUCUGAAUAAGAACUAGCAUAGUCAAGGGCUCGACAGCACAUGAGGCUAGUGGCUCCUGUCUUGGACGGCACAGCUUUAGAGGAUGGAUGGGGUAAGACAGACCUGUUGGGAACUGGCGAAUGUGGGAAGGGGAAACGGGGUCUGCAGAGAGGGAACAGCAUGUGCAAAGGCCCAGGGGAACUACGAGGAACUGGAGAGCUGGAAGUUGAAGAUGACCGGUGUGGACUGGACUGGGGGUGGGCGGCAGAAGGCAGCUCCACGUGCUCUUGGAAGCCAUCAGUCUUACGCCAGAGAUGCCAAGGAACCUCUAAAGCAUUUAGGAAGGGGGGCCGGUUAGCUCACUCUUGGUCAGUGUGGAGGGUGGAGCAGGAGUUGUGCAUGGAAACCUCUGCAGCUGUCCAGGCAAGAGGUGGUGGAGGCCAGGGUGUGGGGGGCAAGAUCCAAGAGAUCCCUAAGAUGGAAGUGCUAGGAUUUGGUAACAGGAUGUGGGUCACCAGGUUAGGGCCAGCUGGGUGGGGAAACAGGAGUAGCUAGGAGACAGCUGUGAUACAGCCCCCUAAACACCUGGAAUGUGAAGGCCCAAAGUGCUCAAGAGACCGAGCUGGGCUGUGAGAAUAUCUAGAGGCACUCACGUAGGCAUCUGCACCAGGACUGGACCAGGACAGUGGGCUCAGCGCAGACUCUUGGGCUCCUCCAGAGGCACUGCCAAGGAGGUGGGAAGGAGACCAGGAGACUGCAGUGUCCUGCAAGUGAGGGGAGGGGAGCAAGGGGGCAGGGUGGGUCACAAGACCAGGUGCUGCCACAGGGUCAGGAUGGCAGCAGCCCCUGGUUAGUGCUCAUGGGGAGUGGGGGUGGUGAGAGCAGGACCAGGUCGGAGGGGAUCGAGCUCCCUGCAGAAGCCAGAUUGUGACAGGCGAUAGCUGGUGGGGACUUAGGCUCCAGGGAGGUAAGGUUUUUAGUUAAAUCUGGGUUCUCAGGGUAUCUGGUGUGUUUUUUAAAGAUGGAAGAAGGGGACACAUUUAAAUGCUAAUGGAAAGUUCCAAAGAGAAGAACCAGACACUGAUGUGUGGCGGAGCCUGGGAAGGUGUGGAAAGGACAGCCUGUGGGAGGCCCAGACCUGCUGGGUGAAGGUGGCUGGUCAGGAUGGGACUCCAGGAGGCCGAGCUCACGUUCGCCCUUGCUGCUGUUUCUGAGGCCACAGGUGCCACUACUCCCAUUCCCAGGCUCCUGCCCAACCCAGCUGGGCUCCCUAAGGCUGGGGCCGCAGCAGGAUGCAAAAGUGAGAUCACGGUCUUGUCUGUGGGUGGAGGCCCUUGUCCUGUGCAGAAGCCAUGGGCCUGGCCCAGUAGCACAAAAAACUCCUACCCGGGGAAGCUGGACAGACGUGCCUUGAGAUUUGAUCUCUCCCUGCCUCUGUGUUACCUUUCCAGGGCACAGGCUUCUCUUUCUGAGUUGUGCAGGAAAGGGAGGGUACCUCCUUGGGCCCAGGAGACAAAGCUUUACCUGCUCUAGGAGAGAGGAGGAAAAGAGACAGGCUGUACAUCAAGAGGAAUUUUCUGGAGAACCAAAGGUUGCCAAAGUCUAAAACAGGCUGUCCAUUGCAGGGCCUAGUCGGCAUCAUCCAUGCUCCCAAGGAAAUGUCCCCUUGGGUUACCAGGGUCUACCUGGUGUCCCUAUUUGGCAACUCUUGGCUACAUGUCAAGGUUUGGCUUCUCAAACUUGGCUGUCCUCUUAGCCAACGAACCCCACUUCACCCAGAACUUGGAUGACCCACCAAGAUGAUGAGAAAGCAAGAGAUGGGGUGGGAGGUGGGUCCCUCCCACUCCCCAGCCUCCUUUUCCAGGGGAUGGCUGGACCGGAGACUCUAAAUGCCCUCUUGAUGUGGAGACUGAGGGUGGCUUUGACUUCUCAGGCCAGGUAAGAGACCCUCCACCUUGGUGCUGGGCCCUGGGGUAAUAAGCACAGCUCUCCUCCAGCACUGCCACCCCACCCCCACCCCACCAUUUUCUGCUUGCUGGAAGUCAAAGUAUGACCUAAAUUUCUUCACCUGUCCCUAAAAGGAUGGGAGGAGCUGCGGAGGGAUCAGGUACCGGUAUAUCCAGUGCUCUUGGCCUUCAGGGCUCCCAUCUGAAAGUAUUCCUGGCUUGUCCCCUCUGAAUCUUGGCGGCGCUGGGCUGAGGGGAGUUCUGAGUCUGACCUCUCCUUAUUCCACUCCUCGCCCAAAGGACCAGAAUAGGCAGUAUGGGGCCCAGAUCUCCACCUCCCUGUCUGCUCCUGGUCCUCAGCCCUGCCACUGUGACCUGGAGCUGAGUCCCUGGAAAAUCCCUUUCCUGCCCUGGAGAAACUGCUGUGACACAGCCUAACAAAGUCUGUGGCCAGCGGUGCCUUCGGCUCCCACAUGUGACAGAGUUUUCCACUGUAAGGAGGGCGAAUGAGUGUCCUGUGAUGUGAGGACAGCAGGGGAAUUGGGGAGCAAGCUGCAGGCGCAUGGGUUGGUGAGUUAGGAGACUGUCUUGAACUCUAAUUAUAGCUCUAGUGUGAGCCAGGUCAGUGAGCCUCUUGGGGGCCUCAGUUUUUUCCCUAGUAGAGGUUGAAUACUUGACAGGCUAGGAGAGUGGGGAUUUGGGAGGCCAGGCCCUGGGAGGCAGUGGUGGCCCAAUGACCAGGAAAAGAAGCCUGGGCCUGGACUGGGGCAGUGGCUUUGCCCAGAGGGAAGGGGAGGCAGAGAUUUAGGAUGGGAAACUGACCGCAGUUGACCAUUUGGGUGGAGACCACAUGACCUCCCUCAACUGUCCUACUGUGACUACAAACCUGCAAGCUCGCUCUUCCCUUCGUUUCCCACCUGACGAACUUUAAGCAAACACAGACAUUGCCUCCUCUGACCGGGAGGCAGGGGGUGGGAGGUGGGGGAGGAGAAUGUGGGACUUGGCCAAGUAUGUGCUCCACCUCUGAACCUCACCGGCUCUGUGACCUUGGCCAAGGUACUUACCCUCCUUGGCUGCCUUGUCUUGAGGGCAGGGUUAAUAAAUAGGGCUCACCUCCCAUCCUGCUGUGAGGAUUUUGAGAAUUACCAAACAAAGCCCAGCACUGGCCACACGGUGAGCCUCGGUAGAUGGCAGCCUUCAUCAUUCAUGGCCUCCUGGCCAUUUGCCAUGCAGCUUAAUCAGUCCAGAUGCUGAUGGCCACUGCCCAGACCCCUCAACUGAAUCGCAGGGGAGCCCUGUUAGGCCUGUGGGGAGAGGCAGCAUAGGCCUUACCUGACUGGUAAAAACAAGGUUAGAAUCCGCUUGAGGAGAAACCCAGAACGCCCGCUGGCCUAAGAGGUGGUCUGUGUCUCCCUGCCCCAAGAACCACCAGUCUGGUCACCCCAGACUUUUUUUUUUUUUGGAAACUUUUUUUUUAAUAGUUAUUGAAUGUUCUACAGCUUACAGUAAAUAUCAUAGUUACAAAUUCUUGGCUUCAAUCUUUCAGAGUGAUCACUAUCUGAUCUUCAAAACAAAAUGAAACAAAAACCUGAAAGAAUCCAAAACAACAAAACAAAACCAGAUUUAACACUUCAUACACACAAGGCGAGGCCAUGGGGCUUUCCAAUCUUUACACUCCAGGCUGUGUUUUGAAAACACUGAUAAGUUCUUUGAUCAAACUACUUGGAAGACACCAGUCAAAGGUUUAUUAUUAUUUUAAAUGUUUUUCUUUUUAAAAUGUGAGUUCCAAUAAAAUUUAAAAAUUAGAUUCCAACCUGUAGAUUAAAAUGAAUUAAAAAAUACAAAAUCAUAUACAAUGCUCUCACAGGGAUGUUACAUGCCACGAGAACAGGUUUCUCUGCCACAUGAUAUGACACAGGGAUGCAGUGCCUUUAAUCAGGAGAUAGAGACAGACCCUUGGGUCUUUAAAGGUCAUUACAGACAACUCCAAGUUGCUAGAGGCCUGGCCUUACCCCCCCUUGGAUCAUGAGGAGCUUGAGUCCCACCACAGAUCCACACGAUCUGGCUGACUCGAGAAGGUGGUCUGAGGGCAAUCCUACUCUUUUCCUGACUCGGGCAUGGGGAGGAAGGCUAGAGCCUUGAGAUGCUGGUCUUGCUGGGGUCAGGCCCAAAGAGGAUUUCACCCAUUUGACUCCUAGGGGCUGGUACUUAUCUGCAAAGCUGUUCUAUCGGUUCUCUUCAGGAAGGAGAGUACCCACCCUGCCAGGAGCUGGAAUGGGUACAGGGCCUCACCGCCACAGCACGAAUGCCCAGGGACUAUGGAUACGGCCGCAGGGAAGCAAGAGCUCUAGUUACCCUUUCUGGUCUUGUGGCAGUCAGUCCCAACUCCUGUGUUCCUCACUUGGCCACUGGGCUGGACUCAACAGCAUGCAAGAUAGAAAAUAACCAUUAGAGAAACUGAGGGAAUGGGGCCCAAGUCUGGCUCAGGCAAAGGAGGCUAUGGAAUGUUGAAGCUGGCCUGCCGGGCAGGAAUUCUGAAGGCUGGGCCCUGGAACCACGUAACACAUAACUUCAGAAACAAGUUUUCUAGGAGAAGGGAACACAGGCAAAGGACAAACCCUGCAGCCAACCUGGCAUGCUCAUGGAAACCUGGUCUCUGAGGCUCAGGUAUGGAAUUCGAUGUUAGCCUGCUUGGGUUUCCCCUGCUGUUGGGCUGGGCCUGGAUUCCCCUGGGGCUGUGUCCCUCCAUGGAACCUGCCUCCUACCUGCCCACUCUCUGGACUCUGAAGCCUGGCAAGCAGCCAGGGACCACACACUCUGUAGUAAUGUGGGAAAAUACAGGAUGGAAAAGCAGAGCUUCCAUUUAUCUUCACUCAAAUUCAACUGAGAAAUGCCAUGGUGAUACCUAAACGAUUCAUCCAGCCAGAGUGCUAUAACCAAGACCACGCAAAGACCAAGACCCAGGUCUUCCAGGCCUGCCUUCUCUGGCCGUGGGGCAGAGCCAAGGAAUCUGCUAUGCAGGGCUCCAGGCUUCCUCAGCCAGGGCCUCACUGAGGCUCUUGGCUGAGUCUUGUCUACUCAAGGAAGAUACCAGAACUUGGUGACCAAGGGGCCUGCCUUACUUUUAUGCUCCAUGUGAUUCAUUUCUGAAUGCCACUCAGAACAAAGUCCCUCCAAAGGAGCACUCCUAGCUCUGGGAUUUGGUAAACCUCGACUUGUAAGUAUACAGUGUCUCUCUUGGUCCUGGUUCUCACCCAUGGGAAAGCAAGCCCAGGGAUUGACAUCAGAUAUGCUUUUGGCCAUCCAAGGCUACACCAGGUCCCUUGGCAGCACUAACUCACUGGGUUUGAACACUGGGCAGGCCCUCCAGUGUCAGAAAGCAAGGGGUGCACAGGCUUCCCUGGGACACGGGUCUUUCAAUGGACAGAAACCUGGGGGCUGCCCUUGAACGUAUCUUCAGCUCUAGGCAUCAUGACCCCAAAGUGUUUUGUUCAGGUUAGGCCUUCUGUUGCCAAUACUCAUCCUCCUGGUGCUGCCUGGGCUCUCUGGGCCCCUCACAAAAAAAUCUCAACUGGGAAGACUGAGCUCCCCAGGUCUUUGGGCAUCUUCCUCUGGAACAGACAGGUAGCAGCCCACCUCGUCUUCAUGCCUGCCACCGAGAGCCAGCAGGUGCCAGCUGGAAGAACAAAGGAUCUGAAGAGCUCAAAUCUCGGCUCCUUCUCUUAACUGUAUGACUUUUGGCAAAUCUCCUCAGCCUUUUUCUUAAGUAAGCUCUAGGCCCAGCAUGGGGCUUGAACUCACAACCCAAGAUCAAGAGUCACAUGCUCUACCAACUGGGCCAACCAUGUGCCCCAAGUCUCCUAAGCCUUUUGAGACUUAGUUUUUUCCAUCUAUAAAAUGAGAAUUUGGCAAUCAAUGAAUGUCGAAGCACUUUAUACAUUAAAAACAAACAAACCUGU
Molecule: RNA transcript, 7918 nt
Organism: Suricata suricatta (meerkat)
Lineage: Eukaryota; Metazoa; Chordata; Mammalia; Carnivora; Herpestidae
Gene: RELT
Gene name: RELT TNF receptor
Exons: 17
Source: RefSeq, a predicted model, not a curated record